AGUGAACGCUGGCGGUAGGCCUAACACAUGCAAGUCGAACGGCAGCACAGUAAGAGCUUGCUCUUACGGGUGGCGAGUGGCGGACGGGCGAGGAAUACAUCGGAAUCUACUUUUUCGUGGGGGAUAACGUAGGGAAACUUACGCUAAUACCGCAUACGACCUACGGGUGAAAGCAGGGGAUCUUCGGACCUUGCGCGAUUGAAUGAGCCGAUGUCGGAUUAGCUAGUUGGCGGGGUAAAGGCCCACCAAGGCGACGAUCCGUAGCUGGUCUGAGAGGAUGAUCAGCCACACUGGAACUGGGACACGGUCCAGACUCCUACGGGAGGCAGCAGUGGGGAAUAUUGGACAAUGGGCGCAAGCCUGAUCCAGCCAUACCGCGUGGGUGAAGAAGGCCUUCGGGUUGUAAAGCCCUUUUGUUGGGAAAGAAAAGCAGCAGGUUAAUACCCCGCUGUUCUGACGGUACCCAAAGAAUAAGCACCGGCUAACUUCGUG
This 492-nucleotide ribosomal RNA is filed under the name uncultured bacterium. RNAcentral's name for it is "partial 16S ribosomal RNA". It matches the Rfam family "Bacterial small subunit ribosomal RNA", at positions 29 to 507 of the family's 1533-position model. The record is from RNAcentral.